GCCUGGUUGGCUCAGCGGUUGAGCAUCUGUCUUUAGCUCAGGGUGUGAUCCUGGAGUCCCAGGAUCGAUCCUGCAUCGGGCU
This 82-nucleotide transfer RNA is filed under the name Canis lupus familiaris (dog). It matches the Rfam family "tRNA". From Rfam's summary of the family: Transfer RNA (tRNA) molecules are approximately 80 nucleotides in length. RNAcentral also lists the same sequence under 1 other name. The record is from Rfam by way of RNAcentral. Lineage: Eukaryota; Metazoa; Chordata; Mammalia; Carnivora; Canidae.